Mya arenaria is the source of this 195-nucleotide long non-coding RNA. RefSeq lists it as uncharacterized. The record is from RefSeq and is a predicted model, not a curated record. The transcript has 3 exons. NCBI's taxonomy places the organism in Eukaryota, Metazoa, Mollusca, Bivalvia, Myida, Myidae.
GUGUGCUCAAAGGGAUUCAUUGGAAAGACCUGCAGUCAAAAGGCCGACCAAUGCAGCAGCAGCCCAUGCGUUCACGGAACAUGUUUUUCAGGCCCGAACAGUCACGUGUGCCAGUGUGACCCAAACUACACUGGAACAAACUGCGACCAACAUAUGGACGCAUGCAGCAGCCACCCAUGUGUCCACGGAAUGUGU